RNAcentral lists this unclassified non-coding RNA (379 nucleotides) under uncultured Gammaproteobacteria bacterium. RNAcentral describes it as "contains 16S-23S intergenic spacer region". The record is from RNAcentral. Lineage: Bacteria; Pseudomonadati; Pseudomonadota; Gammaproteobacteria.
UCCGGUUCUUCACCAGCAGUCUCCUUAGAGUCCCCGCCAUGACGCGCUGGUAACUAAGGAUAAGGGUUGCGCUCGUUACGGGACUUAACCCAACAUCUCACAACACGAGCUGACGACAGCCAUGCAGCACCUGUCUCUAGGUUCCUUUCGGCACAACCGUAUCUCUACAGUCUUCCUAGGAUGUCAAGGGUAGGUAAGGUUCUUCGCGUUGCAUCGAAUUAAACCACAUGCUCCACCGCUUGUGCGGGCCCCCGUCAAUUCCUUUGAGUUUUAAUCUUGCGACCGUACUCCCCAGGCGGAAGACUUAUCGCGUUAGCUUCGAUACUAAUAGGUCUAAGCCUACCAACAUCUAGUCUUCAUCGUUUACAGCGUGGACUAC